GACUCGGGAGAGAGGAAGGAGCCAGCGCACGGAUGUGGAGUUGAUUUCAUUUGAAGCUGGAAUGCGGCUAGUACUCUUCCUUCCGAAGUGUACAGCGCCAGACACAUUGGGUUCUUUCGGGGUCUUGAAAGAGUUACUUAACCUCUCUCUCAGUUCCAUGAUAAAUAAAGUGGGAUAACAGGUGAAGAAAUUAAGGAACAUAGAGGCUAACUAACUUCCCAUCCAUCAGGAUCUCAAAACUGAGUUUGACCCCAGGGCAGGGGCGUCGUUCCUGAAAAGCAGGUGCUGAAGAAACAUCUGUUGAAUGAAGUGUUUGGUGCAAAAUACCUGGUAUCUGACCAGCCCCACGCAGUCUCUUGUAGGAAUGAGCAGUGUCCAGGAGCCCCACAUGUGGAAGGAGGGGAUAAAAAGUCAUCAUUUUAAUGGACGGGAUCACUGAAACAGCCAUGGUA
This is a long non-coding RNA of Hyaena hyaena (striped hyena), 452 nucleotides long. RefSeq lists it as uncharacterized. The transcript is spliced from 4 exons. The record is from RefSeq and is a predicted model, not a curated record. NCBI's taxonomy places the organism in Eukaryota, Metazoa, Chordata, Mammalia, Carnivora, Hyaenidae.